This 253-nucleotide ribosomal RNA is filed under the name uncultured bacterium. RNAcentral's name for it is "partial 16S ribosomal RNA". It matches the Rfam family "Bacterial small subunit ribosomal RNA", at positions 524 to 776 of the family's 1533-position model. The record is from RNAcentral.
UACGGGGGGAGCAAGCGUUGUUCGGAUUUACUGGGCGUAAAGGGCGCGUAGGCGGCGUGACAAGUCACUUGUGAAAUCUCCGGGCUUAACCCGGAGCGGCCAAGUGAUACUGUCGUGCUAGAGUGCGGAAGGGGCUACUGGAAUUCUCGGUGUAGCGGUGAAAUGCGUAGAUAUCGAGAGGAACACCUGCGGCGAAGGCGGGUAGCUGGGCCGACACUGACGCUGAGACGCGAAAGCGUGGGGAGCGAACAGG